UGUAAACAACCCUUAAUGUUGAACAAUCAUUGAAAUUCAAUUGUAUUGAAUAAACUGUAUGUUUCUGGUUCGAUCUCGGUGUAUACUCUGAGAAAUAAACUGAAAGUAACUUGUAAUAUCCAACUGACUCAAUAUAUUUCAUUUUAAUUUUCUGCAUUUCCCUUUUUUCAUUUCAUUUCAGGCCAACAUUUAUAUUUAUGGACUCUUUCACUCUGUGUAUUACUGCAAAAGAAGGAGCUAACCAAAGGAACACUCAAUGGCUGUCAAGCACGUAAUUGUGUCUACCAAAUUGGCACCUUUAUUUUUCACACUUAAGAUGCUUUUCAUCAAGAUUUGGGCGAUGGGUCAAAUAAAGUGAAGAGAUGAGAGUAAAAAGGCAAAAAGAGCAUCAAAAAGUUGAACCGAUCAUCAAUUUUAGCACUGGGUUCAGCUUAACAUCGGCAAUUUAACCAAAGACCUUUGUUUGGCUGUUCGUGAUUCGCGUGUUACAAUCACCAACGCCAUUCCUAUCAUCAUCAUCACUGUCACUUCCACCGUCAACUAGAUAAUAAUUUUUCAUCUCAGGCGUAGCUCGUUGUUUUUUAUCUUCAUCUGUCCACAGCUUAUGAUUACUAUAAUUGUCUUUAUAUUGUUAGUUUUUUUCUCUGUAACUCUAAACAUGAGCUAAACCAAUAUACUUACAUGUAAUCACCUUUCAAAUUGUUGAUUUAAUAUAUACAAAGAUGGAAGGAUAAACAAAAUCUGUUCAAUUUCAUCCUUGACUGGAAAAAAUAACUCCUCAUAAUUAAAUCAUAUCUAUUCAUGAUUAUGAAGAUUGUUAUAAUUUGUUUCCUUCAGUAAAAAUAGUAAAAAUAAAGAUGAAAUUCACAAAAUGAA
Non-coding RNA from Tetranychus urticae (two-spotted spider mite), 876 nucleotides. The record is from RefSeq and is a predicted model, not a curated record. Lineage: Eukaryota; Metazoa; Arthropoda; Arachnida; Trombidiformes; Tetranychidae.